This is a long non-coding RNA of Gasterosteus aculeatus aculeatus (three-spined stickleback), 1920 nucleotides long. The record is from Ensembl. NCBI's taxonomy places the organism in Eukaryota, Metazoa, Chordata, Actinopteri, Perciformes, Gasterosteidae.
GCCAUGUCGAUAACCAAAAGUGUCACCAUCAACCAAGCAGCGGAGUGUAGUCGCGGCGGUGAAGAAACACCACAAAAAGCCAGAGUGAGACGUCCCUCGCGCACUCUGCGGCGCGGCGGGCCCUGUGAUUGGUCCGGCUCCGGGUAUGACGUCAGUGCGGGAGCGAGUAGAGGAAGCGCGCAGCCCGGAGGAGAGGCAGAAGCUGGAGGACUGAGGAUGCGAGCGGACUCACCUGAGAGCAGACUCGCGCGGACUCUCUGUCUCUCUCACAAGGGCCCGAUGUCCACGCAGAGGAGGAGCCGUGUGGGACAAUUGGUUGCGACCUUUAAGUGGAGGACAUUUCUCCCCAGAGUCCGCUUUGCCUCCGGAAGAGAUCCCGUCAGCAUGGCGUCGGGCUUCAUCGGAGCGCGAGAGGGGGUCUGUUUCUGUCUUUGGUUAUCUAGCUGUAUGAGUUUUAAAUGCCUGUCAUAAAGCUAGAUAACCGAAAGUAGGAAUGACUUCCGGAACGUUGUUUUCAUCCCCGAAAGACGCGGGACUCCUUGAGCUUCCAACUGGGAAAAAGGUGAGGAAAUCGUUUUGCUUUGUGUGUGUGUGUGUGUGUGUUUUUUUUUUUAAGUUUGAUAAAAAAUAAAAUGAAACAAUUAGCAUUAAAUAAUCCCAAAUCGAUAAAAAACGUGUGUAUAAUGCAUUCGUUUUUAUGCUUCGUCAGUUAAUUUUUCUAUAUUCUUUUUAGUAUAGUAUACACACAUUUCCAGAGCUUUUUGCAGAACAAAAUGUUUAACUAGCUUCAGCAAUAUCAGUCAUGUUGGUCUGAAGAAAACAAAAAUACCGUUGAAAAAUUUGAAAAAAAAGUUAUCCCAGGAUGUCAUUAAUGGCUUUAGAGUGUAGUAGACAUUGUUUGUUUGUCUUUCUAUCUCAAUCCACUUUAUUUUAAGGAUUCAGUACAUGAGGUCCUUGUACAAAGGGUUUGCUGUCCAUUCAGGCCCUCUGCAACGUGGUGCUGCAUGUUAAACGGGUCGCUCCGCUGGAGGGGAACAGCACAGACCCCAACCGUUUUGUUUUCAUCCCGUGGAAGAAGAAGAUGAAAUUGAAUAAUACAUGCACAGAGUUCAUAUUACGUCAUAGUGUGUCUUUUUUCUCACAGGAGACAUUUAACUUGUCACAGAGGGGGAAGCACAAGUGUCACCAGUAACACUUAACAGAGGCUCUAUUCUAUUUCCAUGUAAGUCAUGACAAUGUGACAAUGUGACAAUGUGACACUAAUGUCUCCGCCUGUUAACGCAGUCAAGUGCUGGAGCAACCUACACACACACACACACACACACACACACAGGGAUAAAAAAGACACUUGGCGCAUGCAUUUAAAGCUGUAGCUAAUCUCAAGGCCUUUGGGACACAUUGUGUCGUGGCUGAAUGAGACGGGCCAGGAUCUGAGUUUUUGAACUUGGCACUUCAGUGCGGCGCACAUACGCUCGGCCCGCAGAAUGCCACCAAAAGCCUAAAUGGCACCAAAGUGAGAUGAGUUUUCAUUCACCCUCUCAACCUAGCAGAGCUCGCCGUCGAACCAGGCAAAUUGCUUCGCUUCACAGCGAUUUAUGUGAAAAAAGCCGGCAGUCCAAGUCUUUGCCCGAGCUUCCCGCUGUCGGGGCGUGCCAGCACGCCGCCGUUCCUCAGUGAAGAGGAGUAACAACACUUGAGGUCUUAUUUAUGGGAUAGUCAGGGAGUUCCUUUUGCAAUCUGCAUUGUUUUUUGUGCUUUGACUUUAAGCAAAAACACACACUCAUGCACGCACAAAAACUUAACAAGGGGACUGGCCGUUAAUGGAGAAAAGCUGGCAGAGAUUUAAACAUUUUUAAUAACUUUACAAGCACAUCUCAGUGCAAAUGUGAAGCGUUACAGGUUUAAAGAAGAAAGCAAAGU